CAGUAGCCACGGUAAUACGUAGGUGGCAAGCGUUGUCCGGAAUUAUUGGGCGUAAAGGGCUCGCAGGCGGUUUCUUAAGUCUUGUGUGAAAUCUAUGGGCUCAACCCAUAGUCUGCACAGGAAACUGUCGGGCUUGAGAGUGGGAGAGGUGAGUGGAAUUUCCGGUGUAGCGGUGAAAUGCGUAGAUAUCGAAAGGAACACCUGUGGCGAAAGCGGCUCACUGGUCUGUAACUGACGCUGAGGAGCGAAAGCGUGGGGAGCGAACAGGAUUAGAUACCCCCGUAGUCCCUGUCUCUUAUAC
Molecule: ribosomal RNA, 301 nt
Filed under: uncultured bacterium
Lineage: Bacteria
Description: partial 16S ribosomal RNA
Rfam family: Bacterial small subunit ribosomal RNA
Source: RNAcentral